CUUGUUGAUACCUAGGUCUGAUUCCCCUUGUUCUCACGAGAGAGAGAGAGAGAGAGAGAGAGAGAGAGAGAGCAUUGGAGAAUAUCUAAAUGCAAAUGCUAAAAUUAUGCAUGAUCUUCCUUAGCGCAGUGGCCGGUCACGGUGACGGUCACAUCACUGGAAGUACCCGGGAGGUUUAGAAAAAUAUCCGAUUAAAUCCGACGGUUCACAUCGAUAAGCAUCAUGAUCCGGAUGAACUUGACAACUGCAACCGCGGCCAUUGUCGUCGGUCCCUUCGCAGGAUGCAGGUGCGCAUCGAGCCAAUUAAUGCACCACCCGAAUAGAAGAGAGAGACGAUCGAAAUCGGGGAGAUUUUUCCUUCUCUCCGGUAGUUUAUACGUUCGUUGUCUAGAUCUAGAUUCUGGAGUGGAUCGUUCGGGAUCGAUCGGGGAAGGGAUGGAUCCGGCGUUGCUCGAUGGCAUCAUAAACAGGCUCCUGGAGGUGCGGUUGGCGAGGUCCGGGCAGCAGGUGCAGCUCUCGGAGUCGGAGAUUCGACAACUUUGCAUGGUCUCUCGGGAGAUUUUCCUCAGCCAGCCCAAUCUCCUGGAGCUCGAGGCUCCCAUCAAGAUCUGCGGUGACAUUCAUGGCCAGUAUAGUGAUCUUUUAAGACUCUUCGAGUAUGGUGGUUUUCCUCCUGAGGCCAACUAUUUAUUCUUAGGUGAUUAUGUGGACCGAGGAAAACAAAGCUUGGAAACAAUAUGCCUUCUUCUUGCUUACAAAAUAAAGUACCCAGAGAACUUUUUUCUACUGAGAGGAAAUCAUGAAUGCGCUUCUAUAAAUAGAAUAUAUGGGUUUUAUGAUGAAUGUAAGCGCCGGUUUAAUGUUAGAUUAUGGAAAGUUUUUACUGAUUGCUUCAACUGCCUUCCUGUAGCUGCUCUAAUCGAUGACAAAAUAUUAUGCAUGCAUGGUGGCCUUUCACCUGAUCUGUCAAACUUGGAUCAAAUUAAAAGUUUAACUCGUCCAACUGAUGUCCCAGACACUGGUUUAUUAUGCGACUUACUUUGGUCAGAUCCUGGUAGAGAUAUUCAAGGUUGGGGAAUGAAUGAUAGAGGGGUUUCAUACACUUUUGGUGCUGAUAAGGUUUCAGAAUUCUUGUCGAAGCAUGAUCUGGAUCUUAUCUGUCGGGCUCAUCAGGUUGUUGAGGAUGGGUAUGAAUUCUUUGCUAACAGAGAACUUGUCACCAUAUUUUCAGCCCCAAACUACUGUGGUGAAUUUGACAAUGCCGGUGCAAUGAUGAGUGUUGAUGAAACUCUAAUGUGCUCUUUUCAAAUUCUCAAGCCUGCAGAGAAGAAACCCAAAUUUAUUAUGCCAACAGGAAUAUGAUAAUAACAAAGCCUAUUUAUCUAUAUGAUUAUCAUGGAUGUUUAUCAGCAAUGAUGGAAACAAUCUUACAGCUUGUAGUUUACUUCAAGGCUGCUAGUAGGUUAUGGAGUACAUAAAAAUACUAUCUCUUGUCAUCAUGGCAUAUGAUAUUUGACUUCAUAUGCAACCAAAAGUUAGAAACUUGAUAAUCGAAGGUGCAAAGCUUCAUGAAUAAUGGAAAUGAAUUUGGGGCGUGUUAAUGCCACUAAUGGAGCUGACAUAAUAUGAUAUAGGCAUUUGGCGGUCUGUCUGGAAGCUAUCUCAUUCUUAGAUGGCAAGUGCUGUAGUUUUUUUCAUCUUCAAUGUGCAAAACUAUGCUGCAGGUGUGCGUACAUUGGUGUUGGCUGGUUGGAGUAGCCUACUCUCUUCUUCAACGCCCUGAUUUUAAGUAACGGAUUUUUUUUUUUUAAAAGACAAUCCAAAUAUGCAAAAAAAAUUAUGACAAAGCCAUGUUGAUUAGGUGGUAUGAAUGAUUAAUUGGAAAUUAUGCAUUGCAUGAAUAGACUAUAGCUGGAAGUGAUCAUGAUGUUAAUUCAGAGAUCUGUUUGAAUUUGUCAAUCA
This is a non-coding RNA of Phoenix dactylifera (date palm), 1962 nucleotides long. NCBI's taxonomy places the organism in Eukaryota, Viridiplantae, Streptophyta, Magnoliopsida, Arecales, Arecaceae. The record is from RefSeq and is a predicted model, not a curated record.